RNAcentral lists this unclassified non-coding RNA (1499 nucleotides) under uncultured fungus. RNAcentral describes it as "sequence contains 18S rRNA gene, ITS1, 5.8S rRNA gene, ITS2, 28S rRNA gene". The stretch from base 388 to 1499 matches the Rfam family "Eukaryotic large subunit ribosomal RNA", at positions 1 to 961 of the family's 3401-position model. Lineage: Eukaryota; Fungi. The record is from RNAcentral.
GGAAGGAUCAUUAACACUUGGGGGAUUGCUGUUCCCUUCGGCAACAUGUCGGUUCCGGGUGCGAUUUGGAUUUUUUUACGAGUGAUUGUGCGCUAAAGUCUUUUUUUGUAUAUACGAACAACUCUUAGCAAUGGAUAUCUUGGUUCCCACAACGAUGAAGAACGCAGCGAAAUGCGAUACGUAAUGCGAAUUGCAGAAUUCAGUGAAUCAUCAAAUCUUUGAACGCAAGUUGCGCUCUCGAGAUACCCUUGAGAGCAUGCCUCUUCGAGUGUCGGUUUCCAAUCGUUGGCUCCGAGCUAGUGAGUGCGGUUUCCGUGUGGAUGCUGCUUUUGGUUCAACGGGUGCCUGGUCUUCUUGAACGUGUUCAAGAUCGGAAAUCAACCAACAAGACCUCAAAUGAGGUAAGACUACCCGCCGAAUUUAAGCAUAUAAUUAAGCGGAGGAAAAGAAACUAACUAGGAUUCCCUCAGUAACGGCGAGUGAAGCGGGAAGAGCUCAAACCGAAAAUCUCUGCCCCCCGGGCAGCGAAUUGUGGUCUGUCGAGGCGUGUCUCAGUGUCGGUCCCGGCCCAAGUCCACUGGAACGUGGCAUCGGAGAUGGUGAGAAUCCCGUCUUUGGCUGGGUGGCCGGCGCGUUCGAGCCGUCCUCGGAGAGUCGGGUUGCUUGGGAGUGCAGCCCUAAGCGGGUGGUAAAUUUCAUCUAAAGCUAAAUAUGUGUGGGAGACCGAUAGCGAACAAGUACCGUGAGGGAAAGAUGAAAAGAACUUUGAAAAGAGAGUUAAAAAGUACUUGAAAUUGCUGAGAACGAAGGGAUGGCGACUAGUACUGGCCGUGGCAAUUGGGCGGGCCGGUGGGCGGCGUUUUCGGUCGGUGGAUUGCGUCCUGCUUCCCCGACUGCGAACUGGCGCCCUUCGAUCCGCUUCGUUGCCGUGUGCCUAGGUCAAAAUGGGUUCGCUUCGGUUGAAGGGCUCGACGGCAAGGUAGCUCGGGGGUUCCCCGAGAACUUACAGGCCGGCGAUCUGGAAUCGUCGCGGUCCGAGGUGUCGAAACACGCGCUCUAAGCUGUAGGCGCGGCGGCUGCUGCCGUGCCGGCGUGGUCGGGGAACAGAGUUCCGCGGCGACUGUCGGCCGGCACCCGGCCGUCCGUCCAUAGGCGUGUUGGCGAUUUUGACGAAAUGGUCGUCAUUCACCCGUCUUGAAACACGGACCAAGGAGUCUUACAUAUAUGCGAGUAACCAAGUGGGAAACUUGCUUGCGGAAUGAAAGUGAAUGAGUGUGAUCUGGCUGGUUUCCGGGCCGGAGCAACACCGGGCGGCCAAGACAACGGUACGACCUGGAGCAUAUCUGUAGGGACCCGAAAGAUGGUGAACUAUGCUUGAGCAGGAUGAAGCCAGGGGAAACUCUGGUGGAGGUCCGAAGCGAUACUGACGUGCAAAUCGUUCGUCUGACUUGAGCAUAGGGGCGAAAGACUAAUCGAACUAUCUAGUAGCUGGUUCCCUC